This 503-nucleotide ribosomal RNA is filed under the name uncultured bacterium. RNAcentral describes it as "partial 16S ribosomal RNA". It matches the Rfam family "Bacterial small subunit ribosomal RNA", at positions 30 to 523 of the family's 1533-position model. The record is from RNAcentral.
AUUGAACGCUGGCGGCAGGCUUAACACAUGCAAGUCGAGCGGGGUGAUGGUGCUUGCACUAUCACUUAGCGGCGGACGGGUGAGUAAUGCUUAGGAAUCUGCCUAUUAGUGGGGGACAACAUCUCGAAAGGGAUGCUAAUACCGCAUACGUCCUACGAGAGAAAGCAGGGGAUCACUUGUGACCUUGCGCUAAUAGAUGAGCCUAAGUCGGAUUAGCUAGUUGGUGGGGUAAAGGCCUACCAAGGCGACGAUCUGUAGCGGGUCUGAGAGGAUGAGCCGCCACACUGGGACUGAGACACGGCCCAGACUCCUACGGGAGGCAGCAGUGGGGAAUAUUGGACAAUGGGGGGAACCCUGAUCCAGCCAUGCCGCGUGUGUGAAGAAGGCCUUAUGGUUGUAAAGCACUUUAAGCGAGGAGGAGGCUCUUUUGGUUAAUACCCAAGAUGAGUGGACGUUACUCGCAGAAUAAGCACCGGCUAACUCUGUGCCAGCAGCCGCCGUAA